GUAUUGGUUAAUAUAUAUAUCAACUUAUUUAUUUAACACAAAUAAAAUUAUUUUGAUUAGAUAUUUUUAAGGAAACACACAGACACAAUAAAAGUAUUUUACAUAAUUAAUACAUAAGCUUGAGUUUCAGUGUAUUUUACUUCUUGCAUUUAAUUAUUAUUAUUAUUUAACUUAUCAAAAAUGGUUGAAUUAAGAUUUCCUUUGAUUUUCAAGCCAAUUCAGAACAAGUUCAAGAUAUGCAAUCAGCACCAUUAAAGGGUUUAGAAUAUUAUAUAUUAAAUAUUAUAUGGAUAUAAUUGCCUUUAGUUAUACUGCCCAGCCCUAAUGUUGUACUUUGUUGUCUGUGCUUGACUAAAAUGAAUUAGUGAAUCAGUGAACACAGGGUGCAUUUCCUGUUUCACAGUUGUGUAUGCUGUGUCACUUCCUGUCAGGAGAGGAUUUCCUGUUAGCUGGCGGAUGGUUUGGGCCUGGGCAGUGAACUGUGACAAGGACAUUUACAUCUACAGCAAUGCUUACAGCUACUUUGUUCUGAGUACUUCUGCUAAGACUGGUAUCGCUAUUUAGGGUUAGUGAGUAAGGACAGGAAACUCAAAUCUCACACGACAUACAUUAAUGGAGGGAUUCGAGUCAUAUCUAGAGAGCUGGAUAUCAGCAAGACCUGAAGGUGGACCAACAGACAACCACAUACUUUGAUGGGCAAACACCUCACACUUUCCUCCGAGGUUUGAAAGUGGUUGGUGGGGCUCCUGCAGGUCUGGGAAUGAUGACCCUGAUCUUUCAUCUUAAGGAAGAUGGACAGCCUGGUUUGGUUCUGUUUAAACUGCAUCCUCUGAUCUCUCCAGGGGGUCAGUCAACACCAGCCACGGUUAAACACCAUGAUUUUACCAUGGUUAAGGGCUGUCAUACUAUAGGUCAUGACGUAAAAUUGCAUUUUAAUGACAGUAAAAUCAUUGUAAUGCAUCUUUUGUGUGGCUCACUUAUUGCAUUAAUACAAAUUCUUUAACAGCAAUAGGAUGAAAGAUAUAUUUACAAAAACAAACAUAAAAAUUAUUAAUUAUAAUAAUCAGGGAAACAUUUCCU
Cyprinus carpio carpio is the source of this 1080-nucleotide long non-coding RNA. The record is from Ensembl. Lineage: Eukaryota; Metazoa; Chordata; Actinopteri; Cypriniformes; Cyprinidae.